This 1242-nucleotide long non-coding RNA is filed under the name Suricata suricatta (meerkat). Its description in RNAcentral is "lncRNA (ENSSSUG00005010635.1)". Lineage: Eukaryota; Metazoa; Chordata; Mammalia; Carnivora; Herpestidae. The record is from RNAcentral.
AGGACCCAUGGAAGGCCACAUGGUGCUUUGUGACACCCUUAGAAACGCCUCUCCUUUUCUCCUCUAGGACUGGCCUCCCCUGCCCUCGGACCUCACUCAUCAGGAUGGUGACCCCGUCUCCAGACACCCUGCUCCUCCCCCACGCGGCUGGGACCCCACCCAGUCCACACCCAGGCCUCCCCUGGCCCCCAGCCCCCCACACCUGGCCUGCCGUUCUUACCACCCCUUCUCCUGCUGUGUGCAUCUGCGCAGUCUUUCCUGACCAGGAGCUGUUUGGCGCCCCAGCUGCGCCCCCAGCCCUCCCCCCCGCCUCCUCCUAAAGGCUGUCUCACCUCCACUUCUGCCUCACCUUUGCCCUCUUUCUUGGGGGGCUCUCCUAGCUGGGGGGCUCACUGAGCACCUGCAGAGGGAAUGAGGAGGCCCUGGAGGGCCAAGCGCACCCCUGACCCUGGCCGUGCAGAGGCCCCUGUGGCUUCCAAGCCAGAAGGGAGGUUUCACCUAGAAAAGAGGAAAGAGCUGAGGACCGAGGCAGACCCAGGGACGGCGAGGCCCCCACGGGGCUGUUCCAGCGGACGUCGGCGUGUGUGGCCCUCCUGACUUGCGGCUGUCCGCUUGGGGCUCUGCCCCCCGUGGCACAGCCGCGUGCGGACGCGGUUCCUACGACAGCUCCGUGCUGCAGCCCCUUCUGCCUCCUGCCCCCAGGGCCCCGGCCUGUACACUCUGACCCAGGAGCCCCUGGCUCCCGAGAAUGGGUCCUUUCUGGCGACUCCUUGCUGGGGACACCGGCCAGCAAUCCAUCCCCUCCUAACAGAGGCAGAAGCCCUGUGGACCCAGGCCGGCGGCAGCGGUGGGGCCAGAAGGCUGUCAGGUGCGGCUUGCUCCAGGUGCCCCGGCCUCCACCCCACACGUCAGGCUCGGAAUCACAUCAGUUCCCCAGUUACAGGGGCUCUGGAGCCCCUCUGCCUCGCUGACUCUGUGGCCAGCAGCCCUCCGGCAGCUUGCUGCCUGGUUGCCUCACGGGGUCUGGAGUGGUCCUGGGGUCCUGCGGAAGGACAAGCUCCAUCUGGCCGCCCCGUUUGCCGGCCAUGAACGGGUUCAGUCAUACAGAGGGAAAAGCUGGGUGGGGACCCUGCUAAAAGGAGAGCAGGAAGUGCAAAGUGAGGGCGGGGCCGCCAGGGGCCUGAUGCUGGCGCAGGGACAGCUUCCUCGUCUGCAGCCUCUGCUUCUAGUCAGAACAGUCAC